CAGUAGCCGCGGGAAUGCGUAGGUGGCAAGCGUUGUCCGGAAUUAUUGGGCGUAAAGCGCGCGCAGGCGGAUAGGUCAGUCUGUCUUAAAAGUUCGGGGCUUAACCCCGUGAUGGGAUGGAAACUGCCAAUCUAGAGUAUCGGAGAGGAAAGUGGAAUUCCUAGUGUAGCGGUGAAAUGCGUAGAUAUUAGGAAGAACACCAGUGGCGAAGGCGACUUUCUGGACGAAAACUGACGCUGAGGCGCGAAAGCUAGGGGAGCGAACGGGAUUAGAUACCCCCGUAGUCCCUGUCUCUUAUACC
This 301-nucleotide ribosomal RNA is filed under the name uncultured bacterium. RNAcentral's name for it is "partial 16S ribosomal RNA". It matches the Rfam family "Bacterial small subunit ribosomal RNA", at positions 509 to 808 of the family's 1533-position model. The record is from RNAcentral.